UAUCUCUGGUUUCCCUUCAAAACGUAUAAAUCUUUCGCCUUUUACUAAAGAUUUCCGUGGAGGGGAACACUCAAAUGAGUUUCCGCCGAAUUUCUUACGGCCACCACAAUGGUGGCCU
Molecule: small nuclear RNA, 118 nt
Filed under: Amphibalanus amphitrite
Lineage: Eukaryota; Metazoa; Arthropoda; Thecostraca; Balanomorpha; Balanidae
Description: U5 spliceosomal RNA
Rfam family: U5 spliceosomal RNA
About the family: U5 RNA is a component of both types of known spliceosome.
Source: RNAcentral